UACAGAGGGUGCGAGCGUUAAUCGGAAUUACUGGGCGUAAAGCGCACGUAGGCGGCUUGGUAUGUCGGGUGUGAAAUCCCCGGGCUCAACCUGGGAACUGCAUCCGAAACUGCCUUGCUCGAGUAUGGGAGAGGGAAGUGGAAUUUCCGGUGUAGCGGUGAAAUGCGUAGAUAUCGGAAGGAACAUCAGUGGCGAAGGCGACUUCCUGGACCAAUACUGACGCUCAGGUGCGAAAGCGUGGGGAGCAAACAGGG
Molecule: ribosomal RNA, 254 nt
Filed under: uncultured bacterium
Lineage: Bacteria
Description: partial 16S ribosomal RNA
Rfam family: Bacterial small subunit ribosomal RNA
Source: RNAcentral